Molecule: microRNA precursor, 100 nt
Filed under: Marmota monax (woodchuck)
Lineage: Eukaryota; Metazoa; Chordata; Mammalia; Rodentia; Sciuridae
Source: RNAcentral
UGUGUGUGUGUGUGUGUGUGUAUGCACAUGUAUAAUAUAAUAUGCAUGUACAUACACAUUAUAUUAUACAUGUGCAUACACACACACACACACACACACG